GACGAACGCUGGCGGCGUGCUUAACACAUGCAAGUCGAACGGGCCUGCCUGGCUUUGGUUGGGUGGGUGAGUGGCGAACGGGUGAGUAACACGUGAGUAACCUGCCCUCUUCUCUUGGAUAACUGCUUGAAAGGGCAGCUAAUACGGGAUGUUCUGGCUGCCUCGCAUGGGGUGGUUUGGAAAGAUUCGGCCUGGUUUUGGUUGUUUUGGUGGGGGAUGGGCUCGCGGCUUAUCAGCUUGUUGGUGGGGUGAUGGCCUACCAAGGCGGUGACGGGUAGCCGGCCUGAGAGGGUGGACGGUCACACUGGGACUGAGACACGGCCCAGACUCCUCGGGAGGCAGCAGUGGGGGAUUUUGCACAAUGGGCGCAAGCCUGAUGCAGCGACGCCGCGUGAGGGAUGGAGGCCUUCGGGUUGUGAACCUCUGUCGCCGGUGAUGUAG
Molecule: ribosomal RNA, 441 nt
Filed under: Actinomyces sp. oral taxon 448
Lineage: Bacteria; Bacillati; Actinomycetota; Actinomycetes; Actinomycetales; Actinomycetaceae
Description: bacterial SSU rRNA
Rfam family: Bacterial small subunit ribosomal RNA
Source: RNAcentral